Molecule: ribosomal RNA, 915 nt
Filed under: Triticum aestivum (bread wheat)
Lineage: Eukaryota; Viridiplantae; Streptophyta; Magnoliopsida; Poales; Poaceae
Description: partial small subunit ribosomal RNA
Source: RNAcentral
AUGAGGUGCGCCACAAGCCAUCUUUCAAGUUCGAGGAGUUCUGGCUUCGCCUCCCGGGCUUCAAAGAUACUGUCUCCACGGCUUGAGACCGGCCAGUCCAUGCAACCAACCCCAUCCGGAGGAUCCACAUCAAUAUUAUCCCGGACAGCCAAGGCUCAAAAGAAAUGGCAACGUGAGAGCAUGGGGGUUUUAAAAACCCAGAUAGAGAUUGCCAAGGAGGUCAUCUGGAGACUGGACCUUGCUGAGGAGGGUAGGCCGCUCUCCCCUGCGGAGCAGGAGUUGCGACGAAGGCUGAAGCUUUCCUAUCUCGGCCUUCUAUCCUUCCAAAAAAUCAAGCUACGACAACAUUCCCGCCUCACUCGUAUUAGGCUUUGUGAUGUCAACUCCAAGUUCUUCCAUGAUAAAGUGAAUGGUCACAGACGAAAGAACUACAUUCAGAUGCUUCAGGCGGAUAAUGGAGUUGUGGUCAUGGCUGAAGACAAGGAAGAUGCGCUUUUCUCGCACUUCCAGAGUCACCUUGGAACACAGAAGCCCAGGACCAAGGGGCUCAUUUGGGACAACCUGGGUCUGCACGUGCAUGACCUAUCAGACCUGGAAGCCCCUUUCGAUGAGAGCGAGAUCAAAGACACGAUAUUUUCGCUUCCUUCCGGCAUCCUCAAGCCCAUCCGUGCUCAUUCCACCAGAUGUAUAAUCUCUCUCUUUGCGGAUGAUGCGGGCAUCUUUGCCAACCCUGAUAAGGAGGAUCUGCUGGCGAUCUUGGCCUUCGGGGAGGCUAGUGUCCUAAUCACGAACCUAUCAAAGUCCGAGGUGUUUCCGAUACAGUGCGGGGAAUUUGAGCUCCAGGACAUACUCACCAUCUUUCCCGCCAAGAUUGCCAGCUUCCCAGGAUGCUACCUUGGACUUCCAUUGCACUAG